ACGGCGCAGUGACAGGGUAGAGCCCAGCACCGAAGCCUGUGGUCGUUUGGCCGCCAGGCAAUGUGGUGUUCAGGUCGUUCCGCAUAGGCACUGCUCCACCCUAAGUCCAACAAUGAGUACGGCGGUACGGACAUGGCCCAUGGAGGGUGAAAGGCCCGUGGGGGUGGAGGUCAGGCAGGCCAGUGUCGCUCUGGAGAGACCUUGUGAGUCGGGUUGUUUGUGAAUGCAGCCCAAAGUGAGUGGUAAACUCCAUCCAAGGCUAAAUACAAGCACGAGUCCUAUAGCGAACAAGUACCGUGAGGUAAAGUUGAAAAGUACUCUGAAGAGAGAGUAAACAGUGCGUGAAGCCGUUCAGAGGUAAACGGGUGGAGUUGAACUGUGAGUUCCGAGGGUUCAGCUGGUGAUUUUGAUUGGGCUUGGCCCAUGUUGGUUGGGCUCUGGGGUCUGCUUAGUUGCAGGUUCCUGCCUUCGGGUGGGUAUGCGCGAUGCACUCGUUGAGUGUUGUGCGCCCUGGAUGUCCCGGGCUAAGUCGCCAGUGCACUCCCUCGGGACGGUCACCACGACCGGCACUGCCGUCUGUCUAUUGCGGUCAAACCGUGCGUGCUUGGUCCUCGUGGCUUUGUGUGUUCGGGAUGGCAGGUAUCCUGUUGGCUUGCUCGCGGGCCUUCGGGUGAAAUCAGCUGUCUGCAAUUGGAUUGUGCGGUGUGCCGGGGACGGCGGCUUGAGGUGUGUGCGUGCGUGCCAAUCUGAUGGCGUGUCCAUCGUCAGGUAGCCUCCCGUUGCUCACCUAGCUGGGCCAGGCGGCGACUGGGACGCGUUCAUUGAUGGGCUGCCCAUAGACAAGUUUACGGGCCUACUAGUCUCUGGUGUUGCGGUAGACGAUCCACCCGACCCGUCUUGAAACACGGACCAAGGAGAGUAACAUGUGCUCGAGUCAUUGGUCGUAUCGAACCCCAAAGGCGCAGUGAAAGUAAAGGUUUGAUUUGUUCAGACCGAGGUGAGAUCCCGUCCUGUCUCACGCGUGUUCCCAGCAAGCUCGAGCGGCAGGCGCAUCUCCGGCCCGUCCCAUGCCUUAGGCAGUUGCUUUAUCGAUUGUACAGUCGGGGCGCAGCAAGAGCGUACAUGUCGAGACCCGCAAGAUGGUGAACUAUGCUUGUCCAGGUCGAAGCCAGAGGAAACUCUGGUCGAGGAUCGCAGCGAUUCUGACGCCACAUCGAUCGUCAGACAUGUAGUAUAGUGCGAAAGACUAAUCA
This 1253-nucleotide ribosomal RNA is filed under the name Tellervotrema beringi. RNAcentral describes it as "partial large subunit ribosomal RNA". It matches the Rfam family "Eukaryotic large subunit ribosomal RNA", at positions 86 to 937 of the family's 3401-position model. Lineage: Eukaryota; Metazoa; Platyhelminthes; Trematoda; Plagiorchiida; Opecoelidae. The record is from RNAcentral.